Molecule: long non-coding RNA, 952 nt
Organism: Spinacia oleracea (spinach)
Lineage: Eukaryota; Viridiplantae; Streptophyta; Magnoliopsida; Caryophyllales; Amaranthaceae
Exons: 3
Source: RefSeq, a predicted model, not a curated record
AAACGCGUUCGAUUGUAUUUGGAAAACAACCUUAACCGGUUUUGGAUUCAAACAAACUCAAUUCUAAUCCUAGCCCAAAUUGACAAAGCCCAAAACAAGAGAACCCAUAUCCUCAACCCAUAAUUUAAUUUCACGUGAAACAAAAGAAACAGCAAAACCCUCCCCUUUGAAACUUCACGUGAAAACCCAAAAAGCAAAACCUCUCCCUCUCCUUUGGCUGAACGCCGACCACCACCACCACCUGUCGUUCCUGCUUCCCCUGCUUGCAGCGCCGCCGCCGUCGACCAACUACACCGCCGGUAGUCUCCUUCCUUCUCCUCCCUUUUCGUUUUUCUUUUUCUUUUCUUUUUCGUUAUUCUUCAUCUCUCCUCACUCGAUGUUUUCUGAUUAUCCAGCCAGCACCACCGCACGGCCGCCUGCCGCCGCCAGCCGCGCCGCCUAGUCCAUCGACCACCUCAUCACUGCCGCGCCUCUGUCCGUUGGCCGGAUUCUCUCUCCCUUCUCCUCCAACGCACGCAAGAACCCCCCUCCCUUUGUUGCUUCUUGCUUCAUGCUCCGCACACGCAGCCACCACCGGCGCCACCUGUGCCGAGCUGUUGAGUUCAGUGCCGGUGCCGCACCGCCUUGCCCGCCGCCCUGCACCUCCCCUCUCUUCUAGUUUUUGGUAGAGAAUUCUCUUUAGACGACUUUUGAAAGUGUUAAAGUGGCCUAUCAGUUUGUUUACACAAGUCUCUAAGGAUCAAUAAGCGUUGCCCAUCUACAGGUUUGAAGAUGAUGCAUCAUUGGGAUCGGGAUUAGAGAGCUUGUAUUUAGAUUUGUUUGGUUAAGAGAUUUGGUUUGUUAAUUUGGAUUUGAAAUUUGUCGUACUAUUUGUAUUUCCUUAUUUCCGUUAAUUGGUUUUUAGACUUAAUAUGUAAUCGAUUAUUUAUGAACCUAAAAGUUAGUUUUACGU